RNAcentral lists this ribosomal RNA (1443 nucleotides) under uncultured organism. Its description in RNAcentral is "SSU rRNA". It matches the Rfam family "Bacterial small subunit ribosomal RNA". The record is from RNAcentral.
UGGAUGAACGCUAGCUACAGGCUUAACACAUGCAAGUCGAGGGGCAGCAUGGUCUUAGCUUGCUAAGGCCGAUGGCGACCGGCGCACGGGUGAGUAACACGUAUCCAACCUGCCGUCUACUCUUGGACAGCCUUCUGAAAGGAAGAUUAAUACAAGAUGGCAUCAUGAGUCCACAUGUUCACAUGAUUAAAGGUAUUCCGGUAGACGAUGGGGAUGCGUUCCAUUAGAUAGUAGGCGGGGUAACGGCCCACCUAGUCUUCGAUGGAUAGGGGUUCUGAGAGGAAGGUCCCCCACAUUGGAACUGAGACACGGUCCAAACUCCUACGGGAGGCAGCAGUGAGGAAUAUUGGUCAAUGGGCGAGAGCCUGAACCAGCCAAGUAGCGUGAAGGAUGACUGCCCUAUGGGUUGUAAACUUCUUUUAUAAAGGAAUAAAGUCGGGUACGGAUACCCGUUUGCAUGUACUUUAUGAAUAAGGAUCGGCUAACUCCGUGCCAGCAGCCGCGGUAAUACGGAGGAUCCGAGCGUUAUCCGGAUUUAUUGGGUUUAAAGGGAGCGUAGAUGGAUGUUUAAGUCAGUUGUGAAAGUUUGCGGCUCAACCGUAAAAUUGCAGUUGAUACUGGAUAUCUUGAGUGCAGUUGAGGCAGGCGGAAUUCGUGGUGUAGCGGUGAAAUGCUUAGAUAUCACGAAGAACUCCGAUUGCGAAGGCAGCCUGCUAAGCUGCAACUGACAUUGAGGCUCGAAAGUGUGGGUAUCAAACAGGAUUAGAUACCCUGGUAGUCCACACGGUAAACGAUGAAUACUCGCUGUUUGCGAUAUACAGCAAGCGGCCAAGCGAAAGCGUUAAGUAUUCCACCUGGGGAGUACGCCGGCAACGGUGAAACUCAAAGGAAUUGACGGGGGCCCGCACAAGCGGAGGAACAUGUGGUUUAAUUCGAUGAUACGCGAGGAACCUUACCCGGGCUUAAAUUGCAGAUGAAUUACGGUGAAAGCCGUAAGCCGCAAGGCAUCUGUGAAGGUGCUGCAUGGUUGUCGUCAGCUCGUGCCGUGAGGUGUCGGCUUAAGUGCCAUAACGAGCGCAACCCUUGUUGUCAGUUACUAACAGGUUCCGCUGAGGACUCUGACAAGACUGCCAUCGUAAGAUGUGGGGAAGGUGGGGAUGACGUCAAAUCAGCACGGCCCUUACGUCCGGGGCUACACACGUGUUACAAUGGGGGGUACAGAGGGCCGCUACCACGCGAGUGGAUGCCAAUCCCAAAAACCUCUCUCAGUUCGGACUGGAGUCUGCAACCCGACUCCACGAAGCUGGAUUCGCUAGUAAUCGCGCAUCAGCCACGGCGCGGUGAAUACGUUCCCGGGCCUUGUACACACCGCCCGUCAAGCCAUGGGAGCCGGGGGUACCUGAAGUGCGUAACCGCGAGGAGCGCCCUAGGGUAAAACUGGUG